UACGUAGGGUGCAAGCGUUGUCCGGAAUUAUUGGGCGUAAAGAGCUCGUAAGCGGUUUGUUGCGUCGGCUGUGAAAUCCCGAGGCUCAACCUCGGGUCUGCAGUCGAUACGAGCAAACUAGAGUGUUGCAGGGGAGACUGGAAUUCCUGGUGUAGCGGUGAAAUGCGCAGAUAUCAGGAGGAACACCGGUGGCGAAGGCGGGUCUCUGGGCAACAACUGACGCUGAGGAGCGAAAGCGUGGGGAGCGAACAGG
This 253-nucleotide ribosomal RNA is filed under the name uncultured bacterium. RNAcentral's name for it is "partial 16S ribosomal RNA". It matches the Rfam family "Bacterial small subunit ribosomal RNA", at positions 524 to 776 of the family's 1533-position model. The record is from RNAcentral.